GCAAACAGAAACAGGCCUGUUCGUCAGAACGCAACUUUACAAUUUUUACCAGAUGGAGAUUUGGUUCUGAGAGAUGCAGAUGGAGCUUUAGUCUGGUCUACCAACACGUCUAACAUGUCUGUUGCGGGUAUGAGGAUGAUGGAAACAGGGAUGCUUGUGCUUCAAGACCACAAUAAUAAGAUUGUGUGGCAAUCUUUUGGUAAUACAGCACAUGUGUCCACUUCAUGGACGAAUAAUGAUCCCAAAUCAGCCAUUCCUUAUAAUCUAUGCAACAUAAUCGUGAUGCACGGAGCUCGUUUUUCUUGUGGAUUUCACUCCAAGGACCGGAAUUCCUUCUAUUUUGCAAUAUGGAAGCAGUCGGAAUAUUCUGGAGAUGAUGAUAUUCCGGAGGCCUUAUGGUUAGCAAACAGAAACAGGCCUGUUCGUCAGAACGCAACUUUACAAUUUUUACCAGAUGGAGAUUUGGUUCUGAGAGAUGCAGAUGGAGCUUUAGUCUGGUCUACCAACACGUCUAACAUGUCUGUUGCGGGUAUGAGGAUGAUGGAAACUGGGAACCUUGAGCUUUAUGAUGUCAAUAACAAGACUGUUUGGAAUUCAUUUGAUCAUCCUUCUGAUGUACUGCUUCUUGGGAACAAAUUAGUGCCAGGACAGAAGCUGGUGGCAAGUGUUUCGAAAACUAAUAGAUCUGAAGGUGUCUUCAGCCUCUCUGUGAUCCCACAAGGUUUGUUUGCUUCUUACCAAGCUACUGCGCCACAAACGUACUUCAAAUUUUCAGUUUUUGGGGGCAUAGACAGCCUCCAACUAAGUCAUGAUGAAUCCUCUGGUGAUCUUGCUUUACUUAUAAUAUCAGCUUCACCUGAUGAGCCGAAUACAAUGCUUACAAGCACCAUUAAAUAUUCAGCGACGGCUUACAUGAAAUUUGAUCCUGAUGGGCAUCUCAGAAUUUAUGAUGGCAACAUGAGUGACGGGGUUGAUCUGUUGACAGAUAUGAUGAGUGCAUGUGAUUACCCAACAGCUUGUGGUAAUUAUGGGCUGUGCUCAAAUGGACAGUGCUCGUGCCCAGUAGGAUUUGUUCGAGCCAAUACCCCAAAUGAUCAAGGCAACUACAAUUGCUGGCAGAUGAGUCCAACCACAUGUGAAAAUCCAAAAUCCCAUUCUCUUCUUCCCCUGGAAGAUGUCUACUAUUUCAAUUAUGUUGACCCUGAGGCAGCGGUCCUGAAAGGAACAGACAUGAAGAGUUGUAAAGAUGCAUGUUUGAAAAACUGUGCAUGCUACGCUGCUCUAUUUCAGUAUUACGUUAAUAAUUCUCUUGGAAAUUGUUUUUUGCCCUCACCAGUUCUUACACUAAUGGGUGAUGGUAAGGAAAGAAACAAUUUCCAAUCUUAUGCCAUCAUCAAAAUUUCUAAUGAUGGAGAGAAUGGAAGUGCUUUUUCAUCUUCUAUCAAUCCUACAUCUUCUAUCAAUCCUAAAGUAAUAGCAGGAUCAACUAUUGGAGCCAUCCUUGUUAUGAGUUUAAUUGUUGGUCUAUGUAUUAUGGUUUGGAGGAAGAAAAGAGAUCGAGAGGAAGGAAUGGAAGACUUGAAUCAACUAUCAGGAAUGCCCAUGAGAUUCACAUACCAAGAACUAAGAGUGGCAACUUGGGAUUUUGAGAAGAAGCUUUGGAGGAGGAGGGUUUGGAUCAGUUUUUGAAGGAAUUCUAGAAAAUGGAGAAAAAAUUGCAGUAAAGCGCCUAGAUGCUUUAGGCCAAGGGCAGAAGGAAUUCUUGGCUGAGGUCAAAAGUAUAGGAAGCAUCCAUCAUGUCAGCCUGGCGAGGCUAAUUGGAUUCUGUGCUGAUAAAUUGCAUACGCUUUUAGUCUAUGAGUUCAUGUGCUGUGGGUCUUUGGAUAAGUGGAUUUUCUGCAGGGAACCACUACUACAUCCUCUGGACUUCCAAACUAGAAGAAACAUUAUCAUGGAUGUAGCAAAGGGGCUGGCCUAUCUCCAUGAAGAAUGCAGACAAAGAAUAGUCCACUUAGACAUCAAACCACAAAACAUUUUGUUGGAUGAAAAUCUGCAUGCUAAGAUCUCUGAUUUUGGCUUGUCUAAGUUGAUUGACAGGGAUCAAAGUCAAGUGGUGACCACAAUGAGAGGAACUCCUGGGUACUUGGCUCCUGAAUUAUUCAGCUCAGUCAUCACAGAGAAGGCAGAUGUUUAUAGUUUUGGAAUCGUAGUCAUGGAAGUUGUCUGCGGAAAGAAAAAUCUGGAUAGGUCACAGCCAGCUGAGUGCAUGCAUUUGCUCCCUAUUCUUAUGAAGAGGGCACAGGAGGAUCAAUUGAUUGAUAUGGUUGACAAUAGCAGUGAGGAUAUGCAAUUGCACAGGUUAGAAGCUGCGGAGAUGAUGAGGGUUGCUAUUUGGUGUCUGCAAAGUGAUCACACCAGGAGGCCUAGCAUGUCAACCGUGGUUAAGGUCUUAGAGGGCACCAUGGGUGUUGAAGCAGACCUAGACUAUUGCCUUCAGAAUGCAACAACAACGGCAGCAAUAAGAAGAGAGGCAGUGCUGGGCAGUACUGCCACAUUGCUGCCAUCACUACUAUCAGGACCGAGGUGAAGAAAGAUCUUUUGCGAUAUAUAUGUGGUGUUUAUGUUUCUCUGAUAGGUGUUUUACCUUCAGUUCUCUUUAUAUCGCUAUUGUAAUGUUAUCUGGGAAAUUGUUCAAUUAGCAUAAAGUGUGACAGGAAAGCAUGAAAAACUGCAAGAAACUGCAAUGAUUAUAACUUCUCUGGCAUUUAAAGCCAAGACAUGCCAUCAGUUUUCAGUUAAGUUUUUGAGGUAAAGAAUUACUUUUAUAGCCAACAAAGAGCCAAAUAUACAUGAUUCCGGUUAACUUGUUACUAUCAACAUUGUGCUGAUUCUUUUCAGAAAAAUCAUAUCGAAGGCAUUUGAUUGAAUUGUGUUGACUUAGCAUGGAAAAUUGAAGCUACCUCCCCAGAAACCUCUUUUCUUUUCUUUUUUUUGUUCUUGAAGCUGCAAUUUUUCUUCGCCAAUCGCUACUCAUUGCUCAGGUAUAAUGAUGUCAAAGUCACUAACAGUCCAUUCAGCAACUUGAUUAGGGGCCUUGAAUAUCUCUGUUCCUAAAUCAAUGGACAUCCACUGCCUCCUAGCCGGAGAAGUCCCAGGAUCCUGCAAAAUAAGUAAUAGCCGCCAUAUGUUAAUGUCAAAGAGCUUUGUCCAUUUUAAUAAUUCAUCUUGUCACUUCCUUUCGGCCUCUGUACAAAUUUCCUUCCGUUUCUAGGAUGCAGGAUUAUAUCUAGUGACUUCGAGUUUUGAAAAAACUAGUAAAUUUGAAGCUCUGAAUCUGUGCUAAGGCCAUUUAAUCCAUAAGAGAAAAGUGGAAGACAGAAAAGCAAACCUGGUAGAAGUAAAGUGAUUGCGACAACCUCCCAACAUCAAGUUCCCAAGUUCUCGGGUCACCAAUCCAACCCUCACCUUGCUUGGUAGGAUAUCCAUACUCACCCCAAACUGGAUGUGGCAAAAUCUGUAAUAUUUCCUGAGGCUGAGGAUUGCUAUAGGGAUCACACAAACUAUAAGGAACUUCAAGAUGCUCUGCGUUCCCCGGAGAACAGUACAAGUGAUAGGCGGCAUAAGGGAAGCGAGCAGUGUCAUUGCGAUGGAUAAGUGUUCCAUCGGGAAAUGUAUGGUAAGGAGGGCACACAUUGAGGUUGUUUGGAUGGCACCAUGAACUUAUGUUUGGAUUUAUGAUCAUUUCGCUGUAUCGAGUGACAUCUGAAGUAACAUUGCCAUCGCAAGGUUUCCCAUCGUUCUUCCAACAGCUUCCCAUGUCCAUCAGGUAGAACUGGCUGCUAGGACCCCCACCAUUGAUUACAUUUAGAGUGAACCUUAACGUCAACUCCAUCACUCACAAGUUUGUUUGGCUUGUAAGUAAAACCUGCAUUAGUGCAUGAUACAGACUAUUUUUUUCAACCCCUAGAUGUCACUCGUGUAAACCCACCUCCCCUGUGAAAUGUUUGCAGGAUUUGACCUACAUUUCAAUCUAUUUCUGUGCAUCAUAAUAUUUUAUCUACAUCGGAGGCUUGGCAGAAACAAAGAAAAGGUUUGGCACUCCCUUUGUUUGUAUUUGAACUGUUGAGGAAUUUGAAUUAUGUAUAUUAAUUAGAUCAAAGAAUGAAAAGGAGCACUCACAAUUUUAUAUUUUAUUUGUGUCUUUAUCUUUAUUUUUUCUCAUAUAUAUUGAAAAUUCUCUUCAAAACUCAAAGAAAAAAAUUGAAAAUAAUAUAAUACCCUAUGUAUUUGUGUUGCAUAUAGAUUUCAUUUGAAGAAAGAACUUCUUUAGAUAGUUCUCAAUGAUAGGAGAAGUUUUUUAAUUUUUCAAUAUUAAAUAUAAGUACUAGUAUAUCCUUAAUAAUUUGCUCGCAUAUACUUUCACAUAUAAUACAAAUGAAUUCUCUUAAAAUAAAACAAAUAUUAAAAACUAUAAUGAUGAUAUUAUUAUGUUAAAACUUAAAGGAGCCUCAAAUACAAUUUUUGUUCAUAUCAUACAUUUUAUGUAUUUGUAUUAGAUAUAAAUUUUAUUAAAUUUUUUUUUUAGAUAAAAGAACUCACAAAUUAUAAUAUGAUUGUAACUUUGGUAGGAAAAGAUAUUUUGACUUUGUAAUGUUUAAAUAUAAAUAUUAAUAUGAGAUCCAAUAUUUUAUUAAGAGUUUUUUUUUUUUUUAGAAACUUUGGGAUGAUAAAGGGUGUUAAUAGGCUUGGUUUUGAUAUUACUCAUAAACAAAUUCAAAUACAAACUAUUAUUCAAACCCAACCCUUUACCUAGAAGAUAUAAAUUUUAGAUACCCGAACUUAACUCAAUUAUGUUUUGAUUGUCCAUUCAAGUACCUGUUAUUCGACUAGUACAAUAAAAUACAAAUAUAAAAGAAACCAAUGAAUUUAUUUAACGAAUUAGCUAAAAGAGUAUCCAAUCAAAACUCCAAAGUAAAUGUACUAAUAAAGCUAACAAAAUCUUGACUAAGAUCAUAAUAAAUCCAAAUUCCAAGAUAAAUUUGAUUAAAAUACUAAUCAAUUAUUGGAUAAAAAAGGGAAAAAAAAAGUAGUUUUAGAGUACUUAUACAAAGAAAUAAACUAAAAUAAAAUGAGGGUUAGGAACAAUAAAAUAUAUAUAGCAGAAGACACAUUUCACCAUGGAUUUCAACAAUGAAUUUACUAUUUUGACCAUGAUUCAAAUAACAAAUGACCUUGCUUAGGAGAGUAUUACGGUCUUUUAAAUAGUAAAACUACUAAAUUGCCCUUAAAGACAAGAUUAUAUCUGUUUAGUCUAGGGGUAUUAUUAGUUUUUUUUUUUAUAUUUGAGUGCAUGUUAAAAUUACUUAAAUGCCCUUUAAGUCAACAAAAUAAAAGCUUUUGGUGAAGGGGUAUUUAUGUGUUUUUAAGUUUGUUUUUAUUAUUUUUUAUCAAGGGAAUUAUUUUAUUUUACCAUAAUUAAAUAAUAUUAAAUUUCAAAAAGCUGUUGGUGCGUGACAGGCGCCAACGCACUUCGGGCGGUGCGUGUUGCGCCUCCUAGUGGUGGAACUUGUCUUUCCACCUUAUUGUUAGAUGUGUCAUCAUGUUAUCUUUCUUCUAGUAUGACGCGUGUCAUCGAUAGUUGAGCGGUUUGUCGAUGAUGAGUUUUUCUUUUUUCUUCUCCUUCCUUUCUCGCUCCUCCCCCAAACAUUGCUUAUUGGUCUUCUUUGUUUUUUAUAUUUAUACUUCGGACUUUUUUCUUUUGAUUUCUUAUGUUUUUCCUUGGCUCUUUAAUAAGAGUGUAUUUUCUUUCAAUUUAUUCCUUCAUUUCUAAUUUGUAACAUAUUAUGUUUUUCAAUUUGAUCAUUAUUCUUUUGAUUUUUUAUUUUUUUCACUAGUUCCUUUUGUAAAAGUUAUAUUUUUUUUUUCAAUUUCACCCUUCAAUCCAAGUUUAUUUUGUGUUACUGUUUUCAAUUUGAUCCUUAUUUAUUAUUAUUUUUCCUUUUUGUUGGAGUUAUUUUUCUUUUUAAUUUAACCCUCCAAUCUAAAAUUUGUGUCUUUUUUUCUUUUUGUAAAAGUUUUAUUUCUUUUCGAUUUAGUCCUUCAAUUUUAAUUUGUCAUAUGUAUAUAUUUUUUAUUGGUCCUUAUUUUUUUGAUUUAUGAUUUUUUUAUUAACCCUUUUAUUAAAAUUUUAUUAUUUUUCAUUCCCACCCUUCAAUCCAAGUUCACAAUGUGUUAUUUUUUUUCAAUUUUGCCUUUAUUACUUUUUUUUUUGUUUGAGUUAUUUUUCUUUUUAAUUUAAUACUCCAAUCGAGAAAUUCUAGUUGCCCUCUCAUUUAUUGUUUCUCUCAAUUUUCACCCUUAUUGUUUUAAUUAUUAUUAUUUUUUUAUUUUAGAUCAUUUUAUAUAGUUACUUUUUUUCCUUGUUACUUUCUUUAGCGUUUGUUGACUCAAUCCAUUUUUUUUUGUCUCUUUUUAUCUACUUUUGUGCUUCCAUAGAUUUGUUUUCCAAGGUAUUGAGAUCAUUUUUGUUUCAAAAUUGUUUGAUUAAUAUCAUAGCCUUUUCUUUUAUCAUCUAAUUAAAAUAAAACAAACAUAUUAAACCCAUUCAGUGUUAUAACUUGAGUCAAUGAUUUCUCUUAUUUAUUUGAAAUGCACUUGCAGCACCGAAACAUCUUUUUUUUAUGAAAAAAAAUACAGACUCGUAGCAUAGCGUGUGCCCGUGUCUAGUCUAGAGCAAAUAGCCAAAGAAUUUAAGUUGACAAUUGUUUCCACUACUUUCAUUAUCUUUAUAUAUAGAUAAUGCCAUGGAUGGAAUUUUUCCAAACUUUAAGUACAUAAAUAAAUUUCAAGUCAAGUUUCAUGUAGGGUAAAGCAAUAUUCAUUACUAAUCCUAAACCUAACUUUGUCUUUACUAUCCAAACCCGAACCCAAACUUGUUGAGUAUGGAUACAAAUGGGAAAAAUCAAACAUGGGUGCAUGAUGGCUUUCAUUAUUGACAAAAUAUAGAGGCAAGUGGUUGCCAUUAUUGAUUGAACAUGAAGAAGCUUGUUCCAUGUUUUUAGAGAGGGUUUAUAAGAACAGAAUAUGCACUAGAUUGAGCAAAAAAAAUAAAGGUAGAUGCAUUAAGAGCAUCAACAAGUAAACUUAGAAAGAUAAAUAGAUGUGAAGAAAUUAUAGACACAUGUUGGGAGUUGAGUGAUAGUAUUUCUCCUUAAUUAUUGUAAUUUAUAUUCUCUCUAUAUAAUAAAAUGAGUUGUUUAAGGGAUGUAGGCAAUUGUAAAACUAUAUAAAAAUAUUGCAUUUAAUGUAUAGGAAUCAAUUUCUUGAUCUUAACAACUAGUAUCAAAGCUUUGAAAAAAAAAUAUAAGGCUUUUUUUUUUUUGCUUAGAAGUAAAAGAGGUCAAAAAUAUAUCUUGAACAUACCAUUGUAACGAGGGGGCCAAUAUGAACUUAAUGGUUAAAACAAAGCUUAAAAUAGAUGCUGAACAAUGGUACAUGCUUUAAUAUGUGUCAGCAAGGAAGAAUGCUGUGAAACUCUCCUUAGAUGCCAUCUUCACUUGAACAACAAUCAACAUGACUUGAACCUAAUAACCUUCUUGAAUGAUGCAACCUAAUUCCACACAUCAAUAACAAUUUAUCGUGAUGUCAACAAGACAUCAAUACCAUAUUAAUAGGAGGCCCACAUACCCCAUCAAUGGUUUAGGGUCAACACAUAACCAAACCAGUUUAGUAGAGCUAAAGUUAAGUCGAGCUAAGUCACUAAAAUGAGGGCAGUGAUUCAAUGAUAAAAAGGUCUUAGUUAAAAUUAUUGUUGUUGUAUUAACUUUAAUAGCAAUUACUUAGUUAAAAUUGAUCAUACCUUUUUUCAAUGGGAAAAGAAUUAGACCUUAAAUGCUCAAAGCUAAAAUUCUCAAACGAAUCUCAUUCUUUUCAUCACGAAAUCUCUUCUUAAAUAUAGGCUUCAAUAUAUUCUAGAACCAACCUUGAUUGAAACCCCUACUUAGUAAUCUUUUCUUCAACCAUUCUUUAGUUGAUUUUAGUUAAUCAACUAUAAUUUGAUAGAGUAUAGUCUAUUGGUUUAUAAAAAUACUCCAAGUUAAUUUUGAACAAUCCAAGAGAGAAUUGUAUUCAUCAAGGGUGGGAAUGAUAUAUAUAAUGUCAAAGGUGAAACAUUUGUAUUUUGGAUUCCAAAACCCUAUCAUAGCUUAGAAAUAUAAGUGUUGCACUCUAAUCUUAAGCAACUGAGUUAUAUCUCUAUAUUGAUUUUAGAAUGCAAUUUGAUCUUGUAAGGACAACAUCUCACAAUAAUCCAAUAAUUGGCUAGCAUUAUGCAUUGUUAUUUUUUCCACUAUGCCCUUUUGUAAAAGUUGCAUUUUUUUUUUCCAUUUCACCCUUCAAUCCAAGUUUAUUUUGUGUUGCUAUAUUUCAAUUUGAUCCUCAUUUGUUAAUUUUUUUCCUUUUUGUUGGAGUUAUUUUUCUUUUUAAUUUAACCCUCCAAUCUAAAAUUUGUGUCCUUUUUCUUUUUGUAAAAGUUUUAUUUCUUUUUGAUUUAGUCCUUCAAUUUUAAUUUGUCAUAUAUUAUUUUUUUACUGGUCCUUAUUUUUUUUAUUUUUGAUUUUUUUAUUAACCCUUUUAUUAAAGUUUUAUUGGUUUUCAUUCUCACCCUUCAAUCCAAGUUCACAAUGUGUUAUUUCUUUUUCAAUUUUGUCCUUUUUUUUUUUGUUUGAGUUAUUUUUAUUUUUAAUUUAAUACUCCAAUCAAGAAAUUCUAGUUGCCCUCUCAUUUAUUGUUUCUCUCAUUUUCACCCUUAUUGUUUUAAUUACUAUAUAUAUAUUUGUUUUAAUUUUAGAUCCUUUAUGUAGUUAAUUUUUUUCCUUGUUACUUUUUUCCAGCAUUUGUUGACUCAAUCCAAUUUUUUUUGUCUCUUUUUAUCUACUUUUGUGCUUCCAUAGAUUUGUUUUCCAAGGUAUCAUGAUCAUUUUUGUUUUAAAAUUGUUUGAUUAAUAUCAUUGCCUUUUCUUUUAUCAUCUAAUUAAAGUAAAACAAACCUAUUAAACACAUUCAGUGCUAUAACUUGAGUCAUUGAUUUCUCUUAUUUAUUUGAAAUGCACUUGCAGCACCAAAACAUCUUUUUUUUUUAAUGAAAAAAUACAGACUCGUAGCGUAGCGUGUGCCCGUACCUAGUCUAGAGCUAAUUGCCAAAGAAUUUAAGUUGACAAUUGUUUCCACUACUUUCAUUAUCUUUAUAUAUAGAUAAUGCCAUGGAUGAAAUUUUUCCAAACUUUAAGUACAUAAAUAAAUUUCAAGUUAGGUUUCAUGUAGGGUAAAUCGGUAUUCAUUACUAAUCCUAAACCUAACUUUGUCUUUACUAUCCAAACCGGAACCCAAACUUGUUGAGUAUGGAUACAAAUGGAAAGAAUCAAACAUGGGUGCAUGAUGGCUUUCAUUAUUGACAAAAUUUGGAGGCAGGUGGCUGCCAAUAUUGAUUGAACAUGAAGCUUGUUCCAUGUUUUUAGAGAGGGUUUAUAAGAACAAAAUAUGCACUAGAUUGAGCAAAAACAAUAGAGGUAGUUGCAUUAAGAGCAUCAACAAGUAAGCUUAGAAAGAUAAAUAGAUGUGAAGAAAUUAUAGACACAUGUUGGGAGUUGAGUGAUAGUAUUUCUCUGUAAUUAUUGUAAUUUAUAUUCUCUCUAUAUAAUAAAAUGAGUUGUUUAAGGGAUGUAGAAAAUUGUAAAACUAUAUAAAAAUAUUGCAUUUAAUGUAUAGGAAUCAAUUUCUUGAUCUUAACAACUAGUAUCAAAGCUUUGAAAAAAAAAUAUAAGGCUUUUUAUUUAUUUAUUAUUGCUUAGAAAUAAAAGAGGUGAAAAAUAUAUCUUGAACAUACCAUUGUAAUGAGGAGGCCAUUAUGAACAUAAUGGUGAAAACAAAGCUUAAAAUAGAUGCUGAACAAUGGUAUAUGCUUUAACAUGUGUCAGAAAGGAAGAAUGACAUGCGUGACACUCUCCUUACAUGCCAUUUUCACUUGAACAACAAUCAACUUGACUUAAACCUAAUAACCUUUUUGAAUGAUGUAACCUAACUCCACAUAUCAAUAACAAUUUAUCGUGAUGUCAACAUGACAUCAAUACCAUAUUAAUAGGAUGCCCACAUACCCCAUAACUAGUUUAGGGUCAACACAUAGCCAAGCCAGUUUAGUAGAGCUAAAGUUAAGUCGAGCUAAGUCGCUAAAAUGAGAGCAGCGAUUCAAUGAUAAAAAAGGUCUUAGUUAAAAUUAUUGUUGUUGGAUUAACUUUAAGAGCAAAUACGCACUUAAAGUUGAUCAUACCUUUUUUCAAUGGUAAAGAAUUAGAUCUUAAAUGCUCAAAACUAAAAUUCUCAAACGAAUCUCAUUCUUUUCGUCACAAAAUCUCUUCUUAAAUAUAGGCUUUGAUGUAUUCUAGAAUCAACCUUGAUUGAAACCCCCACUUAGUCAUCUUUUCUUCAACCAUUUUUUAAUUGAUAUUAUUCAACCAGAUAUAAUUUGAUAGAGUAUAGUUUAUUGGUUUAUAGAAAUACUCCAAGUUUAAUUUUGAACAAUCCAAGAGAGAAUCAUAUUCAUCAAGGGUGAGAAUGAUAUCUAUAAUGUCAAAGGUGAUCCCAAAACCCUAUCAUAGCUUAGAAAUAUAAGUGGUGCAUUCUAAUCUUAAGCAACUGAGUUAUAUCUCCAUAUUGAUUUUAGAAUGCAAUUUGAUCUUGUAAGGACAACAUCUCACAAUAAUCCAAUAAUUAGCUAGCAUUAGGCAUUGUUUUUUUGAGCUUCACUCACUCUAGUAGUUUGGACUCAAGUCUUAUUGGUAAUCAACUCCCUUCAUCACAUUGACUUUUUUUUAAUCCAGUACUCGUGUCCUUAAUGGUAAUCAUAUUAUGUCCUUUAAUUUCUCUUUUUUAUUAAACAUUAGUGGAGAUCUAAUAAAUUACAAUUCAAAAAGCUAUAUAAACUAUUAAACAAAAAGCAAAUGAUUUAGGCAAAAAUAGAAUGUAUGCUAAGUAGACUUUUGUAAAAGUUGUGCAUUUUUAAUGAUAUUGUAAUACUCAAAGUAUAAAGACAAGUGCAAAUUAAUUUUCAUAGGCUUCCUUUAUGGUUAAAAUGGAAAGCUAGUUAAACUCUUGGAUGAAAAACUAAUGACUAAUAGAGUAGUAACAUAUGAUUGCUAGGUUAGAGUAAAUGGCAGGCUCACACUCUUGGAUGAGUGAUAAUCUAUUGAUCACAUUGUAAUAUUCAGACAAUAACUAUCACAUUUAAGACCAUUGAUAACAUUUGUAGAGGGAAAAUUAUGAUUGAAUGGGUCAAACUCUUAUGAAGGAUAGAUUAUAUCAAACUGCUAAGGAAGAUAAAGCCUAGAAAGCCAAUUGAGCUCAUAUAAAAGAAAAUAACAUGAUGAUAUUAGUUGAAAGAUAGAUUUCUUUACAUAAAAAAGGAUUUAACCGCAAUGAUUUGCAAUAAGCACACUACUUAAAGAUGCAAAGGGAAAUUGUCACCCAUUUACACAAUGAGAAGAUUGGCAAGCAACGUGUAUAACAUGAAUAAGAGAUUGGAAGACAAACCACUCAAAAUCAAGUGAGAGUUAGCUCUAAAGGAUAAAAAACUAAAGUAGUGUAAAGCUUUAAUAGAUCUUUAAGAAUAAAAGAUAGAUAUAGUGCCAUAUCAUUUGUCUCCAAGUAGGAGAUUAUUAAGUGUGGAUACAAAUGGAAAGAAUUAACCAUGGCUUCAUGAUGGCUACUAUUGUUAACUAAAAAUAAGGAGGCUUGUCCUUCAUUUUUAGCUAUAAAUCAAGAGAGCUUACGAGAGCAAAAUAUGCAAUAUAUUAGGCAAAAACAACAGAAGUAGUUAUGUUAACAUCAACAACAAGCAAGCUUAUAAAAAUUUUGGGUUUCGUGUCUACGUAUCAAUCUCAUGAUUAUAAUAGAAGUAUCCAUAAAAUAUCCCACCUAUUUGGAUUUAUAUUCAAUAGGUUAGGUGAAAUUAUCACUCUUAGGUUGAUCAUAUUUUACUUUUAUAUCUAGUUAUAUUUAUUUUUAUUGUAUUAUCAAACUAACUUUAUUUCUAAAUGAAAAUGAUAGAAUAUCUUUUUAAUUGAAAUAAUUAUCUACAUAUAUUGCAAGAAAAAUAAAGCUUUUUUAUUUAUUUCUUUUUCAUUUUCUGAAAAAAAAAGACAUGAAACUUUUUUUACAAGAAUAUGAUAUAGAAUAUAUUGUUUCGAUAUUAAACUAUGCUUACAAGAGAAUAUACACAAAUUUUAAAACUUAAUUUUUAAAAGUUUUUAUAAUAAAUUUAAAUUGAUUUUAUAUGUUCUCAUUCUUAACUAUUGAAUAAAUUUAUGAAAAAUUAAUAAAAAAAAAUAUUAUAUAUAAUUAAAUAAUAUAGCACAAAAGCAAGUUUUGUAAAAGUCACUAUAAAAAAAUCAAUCUAUUUUUUUUUCUAUUGUAAGCAUUAACAAUUUAACAUAUCUUUACCAAGGGAGAUUUAUUUUUUUUUCCUUAGUUACUAAUGAGUAUUUGUUUUGUCCUUAUAGCAUGCUUUUUAAAGUAUUUUUAGAUAUUUUUGGAUGAUUUUUAUAUUUAUAUUAAAAAUUAAAAAAAAAUUAUUUUAAUAUAUUUUUAAUUAAAAAGCACUUCUAGUGAUAAUACCAAACACCUAGUACUGCUAUUGAGGGCUAUCCCUCCUUGCUAUGAUGGUGCAUGAUCCAGGUUAUUAUGUCUUAUUUGUUUUUGCAUUUUAAAAGUGUUUUUAAAAAAAUUGAAUUUUUUUUUCUUUAAAUUAAUAUUUUUUUAGUGUUUUCAAUUAUUUUUAUAUACUGAUGUCAAAAAUUAUUUUUUUAAAAUAAAAAUAAAAAAUUAUUUUAAUAUAUUUCCAAUAAAAAAAACAUUUUAAAAAACAAUUACUACAAUAUUUAUAAAUAUUUUCUAAACAGGAAAAGAAAUGAUUGUUCUCUUGCGAAAAUUCAAAAGGAAAAGCUAGCCUUCCAAAUAGUCGUGUUCAAAAUCUGGUUUCAUUGGUUGGAAUGUGGAAACUAGUUGAUAAAAAUAAUAUCAUGGUCAUUAUCCAACGACAGUUGGCCGUGACCGAAGGGGUAAAAUUAAUUAAGAAACUGAGCAAGGACCAUAGGCCGACGACUCUGGGAACGAAAGUAUUUAUCACGGGUCAAUCCUUGUAGGGAUGAUAGACCAUUCUUUUCGUCAACAAAUCGUUUCCAAUGAUCUGUAAAUUUGACUGGUGGGUCUCCCAGAAGGUUAACUAUUUCCACAUCCAAUGUCACUUUCAUUGGCUCCAAAUGGGAAGAUAAUGCUUGGAUUUUUUUUUUUGUCUCAAGUAAAAUUACUUGAAGUUAAAAGAAAAGUCAUGAUGGGUAUUGCGAGGAAAUCAUACAACAAGAAUCGUAAACUCUUGAGGGUAAACAUGUCCACUAUCCAUGGCUGGUAAUAAGGACGGGGAAAUUAAAGAAUUUUCAUUGAUGGGGCAAAGCAUCACGUUUUGUGUUAAAAAACAGGGAAGCUUCCUAAGUCCUAUGGCUGCUUCUGCACUGCGUUCAUUUGGUGUUGUAUAGCAACAGCGUUUAUUUAUCUGUAUUACAUUCCAGAGUAAUACCAAACAAAAAUAGCAGAGCUCUUGGCUAUAUGGCCUUUGAGUGAUAUCCUGCUAGUGCAGCUUUUGAUCAUGUUAUCUCCUGCAUACUUCCUAGAAGCUCAAAAUUUGUCCAUUUAUGACUCCACAGCACAAAUAUCCACAUCAUGGACAAACAAUUUGUCCAUUCCAACGAGAGCCGUUGCUUCCUACCAAAUGAUCUUGUUGAGUGAGUCUGUGUCUUUUGCUUGUGGAUUUUACUCCGAGGACCAGGAAAAUGAUUCCUUUUAUUUUGCAGUUGUAUCACUCCAAGUAACAUAUUAUGCAGAUGAUGAUUAUUAUUUCAGUCUUCGGAAUGUCAUAUGGUUGGCAAAUGAAAAUAAGCCUGUUGGACAGAACGCAACUCUAAAGUUACUUCCAGAAGGAAAUUUGGUUCUGAGAGAUGCAGAUGGAGCUUUAGUCUGGUCUACCAACACGUCUAACAUGUCUGUUGCGGGUAUAAAGAUGAUGGAAACAGGAAUGCUUGUGCUUCAAGACCACAAUAAUAAGACUGUGUGGCAAUCUUUCAGUAAUACAGCACAUGUGUCCACUGUUGAAUAUUAAACUCAACAUCCAGAAGGUCAAGGAAGGCAACCAGCCACCAGCCACCAGUCGCCGACCAGCCACCAGCCGCAGCCGCCAGCCACCAGCUGCCGCAGCCGCCAGCCGCCUUCACACUUGAAGGUUGAAUUUUCUUGUUUUAAUUUCGUGUAUAGAUAGAGUGCCCAGCUUCUGUUAAUGUAAGUGGAGAGAAUUGAGAGAAACACUAGAAAGAGAAAGAGAGAAAGAGAGGGUGUGUAUUGUAUUAAGCUUUUGAUUAAUUGUAGCUUCUGUUUUUGUAAUAAAACCUUGUGUUUUAUCCCCUCUGAGUGUUUCAAAGCCACCACCAGUGGUUUCUCCCACCAACAAUUGGUAUCAAAGCCCUGUUCGUCAGAAAACAGAAGUGUUUUGGGGUAUAUCCGAAUUUUCAAAGUUGUCAAAAACAAGUUUUGAUCAUUCCACAGUAUAGAGCUCCUCCAUACGAGCUCACUGGUGUAAAGAACAGCUUGAUCGGAGCCCGCGGUGAGCCACACGCGCCUCCUGAAGAUCCGGUGAUAGUCGCCCACGCGCGCCAGAGGUUGAAGACGACUGACGUGCACGCGCGCCAUAUUUGAGCCUAGCCGAGCUUCAAGUCGAUCCAGCUGAGCCGUACAUCGAGCCGAGCCGAUACGUCAAGCCAAGCCACAAAGCCGCGCCGUACACCGCGCCGAGCCGAGCCGCCAGCGCGUCGAGAGAAUAUUCCCCAGAAUAUUCCCGGUUCAACCUAGCGAACCGCCCGCCGUAUAGAAUUGGUUUUUUGACCGGUUCACCCAUUUUCUGACUCGAUUUCUUCGAAGUCAGACCAGUUCCCUACUAUUUGGACCAUUCUGGAUCGAUUUACAGCAUCCGUUUGGCCAAAUUUGGCUCCCAAAAAGGUGAUAUAGUCAUUCAAAGAGCAAAAUGACUACAGAAGGUACACAUACACUCAUCCCAAAGCUGACCAAAGACAACUAUGAUAGUUGGUGCAUCAGAUUGAAGGCAUUCCUUGGUUCACAAGAGUGUUUGGAUAUUUUACAACAUGGUUAUGAUGAACCAGAAUCCAAAGAAGUAGAAGAUGCUUUACAAGAGGCACAGAAACAAGCCUUGAAAGUCAACAGAAAGAAAGACAACAAAGCAAAGACCAUCAUAUACCAAGGUCUUGAUGAAGAUACAUUCGAGAUCAUAGCUUCCGCUGAAACAUCAAAAGAUAUAUGGGAGGCUCUCCAACAGAAAUACAAAGGUGCUGAUAGAAUUAAGAAGAUUCGUCUUCAAUCUUUGAGAAGAGAAUUUUGAAUUAUUGCAAAUGAAGUCCUCGGAGUCUAUUUCUGAUUAUCACACAAGGAUUAUGGUGAUAGUUAACCAGAUGAGGAGAAAUGGAGAAGCCAUCAUCGAUUCUCGAAUUACUGAGAAAAUUUUGAGAUCCCUAGAUCCAAAAUUUGAUUUUGUUGUUGUCGCAAUUGAAGAGUCCAAAGAUGUGGACAAGUUGACAGUUGAUGAGCUUAUGAGUUCUUUGCAAGCUCAUUAGCAGAAGAUUGUAAAGCGAAAUGGAGAUAAGGCCAUUGAGCAUGCCUUACAAGCAAAGUUGUCUCUCAAGGACAGAUAUGAGCAAGGGGAGACUUCAACAAGUGGAUAUACCACUUAAGCAGGAAGUCAACAAUCCAGAGGAGGAUUUCAGAGAUUCCAAGGAAGAGGAUCUUGGAAUACAAGCUUCAAAUGAAGAGGUGGUAGAAACACUACCAGAGGAGGUCGAGGACAACAAGCAUUCUCUCCUAGAGGAAGAGGAGACGGUUACAAUAACCGUGACAUGAGGAAUAUCCAAUGUUAUAGUUGCAAUCAAUUUGGGCACUAUAGCACUAAAUGCCGAAGGAAAGCUCCGUUAGAGAUACGUGAGCAUGCCAACUUUGCAGAGAAGGAUGACAAAGGAGCAGCUGCAUUGCUUGUCCAACAAGGACUUGGUGAGAAGCAGGAGGAUAUAUGGUGUUGUAACCCAUUUCUGGGUCCCUACAUAAAAAAUAAUAAAAUACAAAAAAAAUAUUAUAAAAAAUAUAACAGUGAGAAAAAAUGCCAGAGCGCCCUAAAAAUGUUCAAAACUUGAUUGAGGAUGUUCAAAAAUAUAAAAAUUAUUUUUUGACAGUAUAUCAUUGACUGAUGAGAGCCCCGAUGAUAAAGAAAAUUCAAUUUGAGGAAGAAAAAUCCAAAAUCAGAAGUUUAUGGACUCAAUUAAAUUUUAUUUAAGGUUUAAUUGAAUUUUUGGAAGAGUUUAAUUGCAAGAAAAAUUGAUUUUGGAGUUAAUUAGGGCUUUAAUUGGAAGAAAUUAAUUUUCUAGGGUCAAAUUAUAAUUUUUGGAAGUUAAUUUGAUCAAAUUAGGGGCUUAAUUGCAUAAAUAUUGAAGUUUAAUGGCCAAUUAGGGACUUAAUUGAAGAAAUCCGAGACCAAGGACUAAAUUGUAAAACGCGCGCAAAUGGAGGGCCGAAAUUUGAAUCUGACGCAUUUUGGCGCCUUUUCCUUUUAAGGGUGUGUUUGGUAUUGCGGUAGCUGUUGUGGUUGUGGUUUGAAAAAAGUUGUUUUAUAAAAAGUACUUUUAAUUGAGGUUGGUUUGAAAAAAUAGGUGUUUGGUUAAAACUGUGGUUAAAAUUGAGGUUGAGUAAAAAGUAGUUUAAUGUGUUUGGUUAAUAAUGCUUUUGAAAUUGAGGUUAUAAAAUAAUUUUAAAAAAUUAUUAUUAAUAUUGAUGGUUUUUAAUUUAAAUAUUAUAGAUUUAAUUAUUGUUAUUACAUUAUGAAAUAAAUAAUAUUUUAUAUAAAAUAUUUUUUAUUAUUCCAUUAAACUAUCUACAAUUCCACUAUGUAUGAAAUACAUUUGACAAGGACUAUAGUUUUUUUUGUUUUUUAAGCACGUAACAAUAUCAGGUAAAAUAUAAUCAGAAAAAAAAUUGAAAUUGCGAUUAAAUUCUGCAAAUGUUACGUCAUCAAGCGAUCUUUGUCUAAUUUAUAUAGUGUCAUUGAAUAAUAUUAAACACUAGUUUUUUGAAUAAAACACAAUUAAAAAAUAAAACAUAAUUUUUAUUUUUUAUUUUACUCAGUCGGACAUGGUUCAAUGCAUUUUGAUCUUGGGACCGGUCUAGCCGAAAUUGGUCGGACCGGAACAGUGUAGCAUGCUACACUGUUCCUUUUAACCAUAAUAAAAAAUAUUUACAAGAGUGGUCUUUCAUUUCUUUUCUAGACAAAUAGGAGAACAGAUUAAUUAGCAAGAACAGUGGAUAGUCAUGCUCCACUGUUCAUGCUAAUUAAUUAGCAUGAACAGUGGAGCAUGACUAUCCACUGUUCAUGCUAAUUUGCAUGAAGUGCGCAGGAAGCAGGAUUCGUCUGCUUUUCUUUACCCGGCGUUUUGAACGCAAAAACAGUGUGGGACCCAUGAAUAGUAAGUUGCUUUUUAUAUUUACCAAACGGGUUGCAUCUGCGUUUUGUUUAAAACGCAGAUGCAACCUCGUUACCAAACGCCCACUAAAUGAAACGGCGCGUUUUGACCAAAACGGCGCUGUUUCGUGCACUGUUUAAAAAAAAAAAAAAAGAACCCAAAACGGUGCCGUUUUGAAACGGCACCAUCGUCUUCUUCCCUGCGCACGUAGAGAACAGGGGAGAAGAAUUUUUUGUCUUCUCCACUUUUCGCCGAACUUCUUUACCCGAUGGCUUCAAAAAGACGCCCACAAUUCAGCCACUUGCAUACUUUUUUGGCCACUUGGAUAGUGGAGGGGCGGCCAACAGUGGCCGCCCCAAGAGUCGCCUCCCCUGUUUUUUGCCUAUAGAAACAGGGGAGGAAAGACAGAAAAAAGGAGGGGGAAGAGAGAAGGAGACCAAGGAGAAUAGAAGGGAGAAGAGAGAGGGGAGAGAAGGAGAGGACCGAGAGAGAGAGCAGAAGAAGAAAAGAAAAAAAAACAAAGAGGUUCUCGCCUCUGCACCGAAGAAGAGAAACAGGGGAGAGGCUGCCACUGCCAUCGCCAACACCGUCUCCGCUGCCACCAGCAGUCGCCGGCGUCGCCGCCUCUCCAGGUAAACACUGCCCCCUUUUACUUUUAUUUUCGUUUCUUCCCUCGCCAUGCAGGACGUGCACGGUGCACGCCUGCAAGCAAGGUGAGGCUGCUAAGGUGGGCCGGGCCCGAGCCCAACCCAUGCAUUUAGGCCAGGUUCGGCCCAGCCCACUGAAAUGUGCCGGGUCCGGCCCAUUUCAAUUUUUUUAAAAAUUUUUUUUUUCCCUUCAGAAUUUUUACAAUUUUUCCAGCACAUUUUUGUUUUAUCAAUUUUGCUUAAUAUCGAGUGGUAUUUUACAUCGCAAAAAUAUAAAUCCGGUAUUAAAAUACCCGGUUUUCGUCCCACGGUACUGUUCACACAUGUAUUUGGGCCUGACUUGGCCCAUUCAAAAAGAAAAAAAUCAAAAAUAUUUGCUUCAGAAUUUUAUAAUUUUUUCGUGCAGUUUUUAUGUCAUUUUGCUUAAUAUCGGUUUGUAUUUUACAUCGUAAAAAUAUAAAUCCGGUAUUAAAAUACCCGGUUUUCGGCAAAAACUUCCAAAAAAUAAAAAAAAAUUGAAAAAAGAUAAAAAAUGUUUUUGUGCAUACGGCCAAGUGUCUCAAAUCUAAAAUAUCAUAUCGUAUUUUUCAUAUGUCAAAAAACAAUAUUUUAGCAUGCAUUUUGGCUUUAAUAACCAGUUUAUUAAAGUCAAGAGAACAUUUGCCAAAAUCUCAAAAACAACAAAAUAUUUUAUUUUGUUUGAUUUUAGUAUCAAGGAUUAUGAAUUUAUACGUAAAUCAUAUUCCUGAUAUUAAAAAGAUAUUUUCUUUUGACGACUUCGAAUAGUUAGUUUUUUACCCGAUAAAGAUAAGGAUCUCCUUACAGAAGACUUUUCUUAAACCGUAAACGAACCAAUAAUUCAAAAACCACAACACGAUUUUAGAUUUUAUCAGACAUUAAAACAAUGCAGCCUACCUUAGGUAGGGCGUAGUUGGGGUGCUAAUACCUUCCCUUUACGCAACCAGUCUCCGUACCCGAUCUCUGAAGACCAGUUAAGGUUCCUAGUAACCAGAAUACUAGGUGGCGACUCCCAGUCCAUAUUUUCACUUGUAUAGACAAGAAUUCAUUGUCUCUCCCUAUUUUCCAGGAAUAAAUAUUCCGAUUUUUCCUUGAGCGUGGACGAUCGCCGCGCCGCCGCACACGUGCGACAUAUGGUAUCUAGAUACUGGAGCCAGCAAUCACAUGUGUGGCUACCAAGAAUUAUUUGGUGAUCUAGAUGAGACCAAGCAAGGUCUAGUUACUUUUGGAGAUACCACAAAGGUUCCAUUCAAAGGUAAAGGCAACAUCCCAAUCAAGUUGAAGAACGACGAUUCCAGCUACAUCACCGAUGUGUAUUAUGUCCCAGCCAUAAAGCAGAACCUGAUCAGCUUAGGUCAACUGUUGGAGAGAGGAUAUAUUUUUACUCGAAGAAUUGUCAUCUGACAAUUAGAGACAACAAUGGGAGAUUAAUGGCCUACGUGAAAAUGUCCAAGAAUAGGAUGUUUCCUUUGAACAUCCAGUAUGAUGCAACAAGGUGUUUGAGUGCCAUCACCAACAGUGAAGAAUGGCUUUGGCACCUGAGGCUUGGACAUCUGAAUUUCACAAGUUGAAGAUGCUAGCAAGCAAGAAGAUGGUCAAAGGUUUGCCUCACAUUGAUCAUCCAGAUGAAGUCUGUGAGAGUUGUGUCCUCAGCAAACAUCACAGAUCCAGUUUUGCCAAAGAAGUCAACUGGAGAGCAAAGAGGCCACUGGAGUUAGUACACACAGAUGUGUGUGGCCCAAUUACGCCUAUGUCGACUGGACAAAAUAGGUACUUCCUCACUUUUACUGAUGAUUUUAGUAGAAAGACGUGGAUAUACUUUCUGAAGAGGAAGUCAGAAGUAUUCAAUUGUUUUAAAGAUUUUAAAGCAAUUGUGGAGAAGCAAACUGGUUAUAUCAGAACCGUGAGAUCUGAUCAAGGUGGAGAAUAUACAGCAAAUGACUUUGAAGCCUUUGUACACAACAAGGCAUCAGACAUCAGACACACCAGCUUAUACACCACAGCUGAACGGUGUAGCAGAGGAAGAAUCGCACGAUUCUUGACAUGGCAAGAAGUCUGCUCAAAGCAAAGAAGUUGCCCAAGCAAUACUGGGCUGAAGCUGUAUCAUGUGCAGUGUAUCUGUUGAAUCGCUGCCCAACCAGAAGUUUGCAAGGGUCAUCCAGAAGAAGCAUGGAGUGGUCACAAACCAAGUGUUACUCAUCUACGAGUCUUUGGUUGUGUGGCAUAUGCAAAGAUCCCAGAUGCAAGAAGGAGAAAGCUCGAUGAUAAGCGAGAAAUGCAUCUUUGUCGGAUAUGGUGAAAGAAGGAUGGGAUACAGGCUGUAUAAUCCCAUCACGAAGAAGGUGAUUACGAGUAGAGAUGUUAUCUUUGAAGAAGAUAAAUCUUGGGCAUGGAAUGAUGAUCAAGAAGCAGUCAAAUGGAUCAACACUGAUUUGAUCCUUGAAGGUGAAGAAGUACCAACAGUACUUGUCGAAGAACCGAUUGUGCCAGCAGCUGAACCACAAAGUCCGGUACACAGAUUCCCUGUAUUCAACAGGAGGAACACACCAGGAGCAUCAUCAUCAACACCACCAUCAGCAUCCUCAUCAGAAGGACCAAGAAGGAUGAGAAAUCUUGAAGAGCUGUACGAUGCCACUCAAGUCAUGGAAGAUACAACUCUGUUUUGUUUCUUUGCAGAUAGUGACCCAUUAAGCUUCAAUGAAGCUGUCACAGAAGAGAAAUGGAUAAAGCAAUGGAUGAAGAAAUACAUGCCAUUGAGAAGAAUGAUACCUGGAAGCUGACUUAUCUACCAGAAAACAAGAAAGCAAUAGGUGUCAAAUGGGUCUACAAGACGAAGAAGAAUGCAAAAGGAGAAGUGCAAAGAUACAAAGCCAGAUUAGUGGCUAAAGGCUACAAACAGAGAGAAGGCAUUGACUAUGGAGAAGUAUUUGCUCCAGUAGCCCGGCUAGAGACAAUCAGACUGAUGAUCUCACUAGCUGCACAACAUAGAUGGAAGAUCUAUCAACUCAAUGUGAAGUCAGCAUUUCUGAAUGGCUUCCUAGAAGAAGAGAUCUAUGUUGAACAACCACUUGGAUACAUUGAAGCUGAAAAUGAAGGCAAAGUAUACAAGUUGAAGAAAGCUCUCUAUGGUUUGAAGCAAGCUCCGCGUGCUUGAAAUACCAGAAUUGACAGGUAUUUUCAAGAUAAUGGAUUUGACAAAUGUCCAUAUGAACAUGCAGUAUAUGUGAAGAAAGGAGCAGAUGGCAGCAUCUUAUUUGUUAUCCCUUGAUAUGAUGGUGCAUAACCCAAGUUAUUAUAUCUUAUUUGUUUUUGUGUUUUAAAAGCGUUAUUAAAAAAAAUUGAUUUUUUUUUUGUUUUAAAUUAAUAUAUUUUUUUGGUGUUUUCAAAUUAUUGUAAUAUGCUAUGUCAAAAAUUAUUGUUUUAAAAUAAUUUUUUUUUAUUUUAAUAUAUUUCUAAUAGAAAAACAUUUAAAAAUACAACUACUACGUAUUUCUAAACAUUUCCUAAAUAGGAAAAGAAAUUAUUGUUCUCUUACGAAAAUUCAAAAGGAAAAGCUAGCCUUCCAAAUAGUCGUGUUCAAAAUCUGGUUUCACUGGUUGGAAUGUGGAAACUAGUUGAUAAAAAUAAUAUCAGGGUCAUUAUUCAACGACAGGUGGCCGUGACCAAAGGGGUAAAAUUAAUUAAGAAACUGAGCAAGGACCCAAUGCCGACGACUCUGGGAACGAAAGUAGUUAUCACCGGUCAAUCCUUGUAGGGAUGAUGGACCAUUCUUUUCAUCACAAUUCAAUGAUCUUGUUAUAUCAAAGUUAAUUGUAUUUACGGUUUGUAGUUUCAAAAUGAUGUAUUAAAGCAAAUUAUUAGCUAAUGCUGGCAUAGCAGCUUUUGAUCAUGGCUGUGCUGCAGCUUUUGAUCAUCUUAUGGUCUCUACCAUACCUCCUGGAAGCACAAAUUCAUUAUGCUGACACAGCACACGUAUCCACAUCAUGGACAAAUAAUAACAUCUCCUUACCAUCAAUCUCUAGUGCCAAUCGGAUCAUUCUGUCGAAUGAGAUUGGUUUUGCUUGUGGAUUCUACACCGACUAUUAUGGGGCUUUGUUGGCCGUCGGGAUAGCCAAAACCUGGACAGAUUGGAGUGUUGGGAAUGGUAGUCGGUAUUUUAGCGAUCUAAUAUGGUCGGCGAACAGAAACAAGCCUGUUAGCGAGAAUGCAACUCUGCAGUUUCUCCCAGAAGGAAAUUUGGUCCUGAGAGAUGCAGAUGGGACUUUGGUUUGGUCUACCAACACUUCUAACAAGUCUGUUGUCGGUAUGAAGAUGAUGGAAACAGGAAACCUUGUGCUUUACAAUCAAAACAACAAGACCAUCUGGCAGUCUUUUGAUCAUGCAACAGACGCUCUGCUUCCUGGGCAGAUACUGCGGGCGGGGCAGAAGUUGGUGGCUAGUGUUUCCAGAGGUAAUAGAUCCGAGGGAAGCUACUAUCUUUCUGUUACUUCUGAAGGUUUGUUUGCUUUUUACCAAGCUAAUGUUCCACAAAUGUACUACUACAAUCGUCAAUUUGAUGGGACAUUGAUCAAGGGCUUCCAACUAAACUACAGUGCAUCUGAUAAUGGUACUCUAUGUCGAUUUAUUCGCUCUGAUUCAGCUGGUGAUCAUGAAGUUGGAAGAUCGAAUAGAUGCUCACAAACAAGUUAUAUGAAAUAUGAUCAUGAUGGACAUCUCAGAUUAUAUGAUGAUAAUUUAGAUCAGCCUGUGGAUUUGUUGGAAGACGAAAUGAAUGAUUGUGAUUACCCAACAUCUUGCGGUACAUAUGGGCUCUGCUCAGGUGGACGCUGCUCAUGCCCGUCAGGAUUUUCUCGAGAUAAUGACUCAAUGGCUCAAGGAAAAUAUGGAUGUUUAGAGAUUAAUCCUGUCGAAUGUGAAAAUCCCCAUCAAUCCCAGUCUCUCCUAACAUUGGAAGAUGUCUAUUAUUUCAAUUAUAUUGAUGAUGAUGCAGCAGCGUUAAAAGAGACAGAUAUGAAGAGCUGUCAAGAGGCAUGCUUGAAUAACUGUUCAUGCAAAGCUGCUCUAUUUCUACAGAGUUUAGGUUUUUUGCAGGGGAGGGGGAGUUGUUUUUUACCCUCAUCAGUUCUCUCGCUUUCAAGGGAUCGGAUAUCACUUAUGCCUCAAGCAUUUAAAUCAUAUGCAUUUAUCAAAGUCUCCAAUCACGGAAAGAUUGGGAGAGUUUCUCGUCCUCAAAUAAUAGCAGGAUCAAUAAUUGGAACCAUCGUUAUUUUAGGACUCUUUGUUGGCUUAUGGAUUGUGCUUUCAAGGAAGAAAAACAAUGGAGUGGAAGGAAUGGAAGAUUUCCUUGAUCAGCUACCAGGAAUGCCCACGAGAUUCACGUAUGAAGAACUGAAAGCAGCAACUAAGGAUUUCCAUACGAAGCUUGGAAAAGGAGGGUUUGGCUCCGUGUUUGAGGGAAAUUUAGAAACUGGAGAGAAAAUUGCAGUGAAACGUCUAGAGGGUUUAGGCCAAGGGAAGAAGGAAUUCUUGGCAGAGGUCAAGACUAUAGGAAGUAUCCACCAUGUCAACCUGGUGAGACUAAUCGGAUUCUGCGUAGAUAAGCUCAAUUGUCUUUGUUAGUUUUUUAAAGAAAGAAAGGAGUAUAACAGAGGUAGAAGUUUAUGGAUAUGGAGAAGGGAGAAAGAUAGAAAUAGUAGAUAAGGGAAUACAAACUGGGAAUUCAAAUAUUAUUAUGCAGCAAGCUUACAUUAAAUAGAAACAGAGAAAAAAACUGAAACCGAGAAUUAAGCCAUGAACAUCAACGUGUGCCAUGAACAGCAACGUGUGCCAACAAACUAACCACUUCCUACAGACUAGGACAAACUAAAAACAGAAUGAAAGCAUAAAAUAAUUUCUGAUACUUAGAAACGUUGCAGUCCUAAAACAAUCAACUAACACUUCUCCAUGAUUUAGGAGCUGCAAACUCCAAGUCUUUGCCUAAGAGGUUCAAACUUGUUUGUUGGCAAAGGUUUUGUAAAAAUGUCUGCGAGCUGAUCUUCAGAUUUGCAAUAAAUGAGGCUCAAUUCUCCUUCCUUCUGCACUUCCCUUAAAAAGAAAAAUUUGAUCUUGAAAUGCUUGGUUUUUCCAUGAAAAACUGGAUUGUGGGAGAUUGCAAUUGCUGCCUGAUUGUCCACAAACACCUCUGUAUCAUUUUGUUGCUUCAAAUGUAAAUCACAGAACAACUUCCUCAGCCACAAAGCUUGAUUCACUGCUGUUGUAGCAGCAAUAAAUUCAGCCUCGGCAGUAGACUGUGCUACAGUCUCUUGCUUCUUGGAACUCCAUGAGAAAACUCCUGAUCCUAGGCUAAAACAGUACCCAGAUAUACUCUUCAUGUCAUCCACUGAUCCACCCCAAUCACUGUCAGAAAAUCCCAGCAACUUGAAGUUUUGACAGUACUUGAAUUUUACACCAAAAUCAAUAGUUCCUUUGAUGUAUCUAAUGACUCUUUUUGCAGCUUUAAGAUGCACUUCACUAGCACAAUGCAUGUAACGAGAGAGAAUGCUUACAACAAAAAGAAUAUCUAGCCUGGUUGUUGUUAGGUACAUUAGGCAACCAAUCAUGCUUCUGAAAUAGCCUUCUUCAACUUUGUCUGUGCCGUCCUCUUUACUUAAGCUCUCUUUUGGAUUCAUUGGAGUAGCCAUUGCCUUACAGUCCUCCAUAUGAAACUUCUUGAGAAUUUCCUUGGCAUAUUUCUUUUGACAGAUGAAAACUUCAUUUUCUAACUGUUUGAUCUCCAUUCCCAGAAAGUAUGCCAUGAGUCCAAGGUCUGUCAUUUCAAAAAUUUUCAUCAUUUCCCUUUUGAACUCUUCAACAAGCUUGGCAUUGUCACCUGUGAUCAAAAGAUCAUCAACGUAAAGAGAGACUAUAAGCAGAUUGUCUCCUUUACAUUUCACAUAAAGAGUAGCCUCUGACAAACUUUUCUGAAAUCCUAGGCUUGACAGAUGCUCAUCUAUCUUGCUAUACUAUGCUCUAGGUGCUUGUUUCAAGCCAUAUAGAGCCUUCUUAAGCAAGUAGACCUUCUCCUCUUCACCUUGUUCCAUGAAUCCCUCGGGCUGUUCAACAUAGAUUUCCUCCUGCAAAAUACCAUUUAAGAAAGCAGAUUUCACAUCUAGUUGAAACACCUUCCACCCAUUUUGAGCUGCUAUAGCUAGCACAAGCCGAAUAGUAUCCAAUCUAGCAACAGGGGCAAAUGUAUCCGAGUAAUCAACUCCAAAGACUUGAGCAUAUCCCUUAACAACAAGCCUGGCUUUGUGUUUGUUGAUGGAACCAUCAGCAUUGAGCUUGGUUCUAAACACCCAUUUUACUCCAAUAAUCUUUCUAUCCUUUGGCCUGUCAACUAGCUCCCAAGUCUUGUUCUUUUUUUAUCAUUGACAGCUCCUCCUCCAUCGCCUUCUGCCAUUUUGGAUCUUUAAUAGCCUCUUCAUAACUAGCAGGUUCACAAAUGGCCACAUUGCAUCGCUGAUAGAUAUCAUGGAGCGGUCUUGUUCCACGAAUUGGAAGAUCAUCUUCCAAUUCUUCCUGCCACUGUUCUGAUGCUUGCUCUUCUCUUGUUUGGGAGGUUAGACUUGUUUUUUGCUUGCUUGUGGAUGUCUCUUUUGUCUGUUGCCAAUUCCAUUUCUCUUCUUCAUUGAAGAACACAUCUCUACUGACAAUUAUCUUCCCUGUUUGAGGUUGAUAAACCUUAUAUGCCUUUGAGGAAGAGCUGUACCCAACAAAGAUGCCUGGUUCUGACUUUUUAUCAAGUUUAUCCCGCUUGACCUGUGGAAUAUGAGAGAAACACAAGCAACCAAACACUCUAAGAAAUUUGAGUGAAGGUUUAUAGUCAUACCAUGCCUCAAAUGGAGUUUUAUCCUUCAAUGCUUUAGUGGAUAAUCUGUUCUGUAAGAAAACAGCAGUAUUGGCCGCUUCAGCCCAAAAAUAUUUUGGUAACUCCUUGUCGUGUAGCAUGCAUCUGGCCAUCUCCAUUAUGUAUCUGUUUCUCCUUUCACUUACUCCGUUUUGCUGCGGAGUGUAAGGAGCAGUAAGCUGGUGUUCAAUGCCAGCUUCUUCACAAAACAUAUCAAAUUCUGCUGAAGUGUACUCCUUUCCAUUAUCUGACCUUACAGCUUGAAUUUUGCAGCCACUUUGAUUUUGUACCAUCUUCUUGAACUUCCAGAAGACUCCAGCUACUUCUGACUUGAAUUUCAAGAAAAAAUCCAGCACAUUUUGAAAAAUCAUCAUAAAAGCAAUGUAUAUCGACUACCUGCUAAUGAUUCAGUUCUUUGAGGACCUGAUACAUCUGUGUGGAUUAGCUGCAACUUGUGAGUGGCUCUCCAGGAUGACUUUGGGAGUGGUCUCCUAUUUUGUUUACCGUAUUGACAAGCAUGACAAUUCGGUAAGUGAUCUCCAAAGGUUGGUAAGCCAACUGUGAGUUCCCUUUCCUGCAUAAGUUGCAUCCUUUGUAAGUGACAAUGACCAAGUCGCUUGUGCCAUAUCUCUGUGUUGCAAGCUUUCAUGGAGAAUGCAGCAAGUCCUUCUUUGAUAGGAUCAAACGAAAAACUUUUUCCUUUCAUUCUCACUUUGAGAAUUUCCUCACUGUUAGCAUCCAGUAUGUGACAGAAACCAUCUUCAAAGAUCACUUUAAAGCCUUUUUCAAUCAAUUGGCCUACGCUCAACAAAUUUUGAUUAAUUUCUGGUACGUAGAGAACAUCAGAAAUUGUUUUGUGCCUGCUGUGCUGGUUAUGGUGAUUGUCCCUCUUCCUUUGACAGAGAUGUGAUCACCAUUGCCAAUUUUGACUUUAGUAAUAUCAGUUGGCCUCAAAUCUCUGAAGAGUUUCUUGUCAUUGGUCAUGUGGUACAACCACUGUCAAUUAACCAACUUUCAGUCGAACUACUACUUGCAAAGCAGGAUGCUAUAAAAAGCUGAUCUUCAUCCUCUUGUUCUGCAACUUGGGCAUCAACUUCAUGCUGUUGAGCUCUUCCCUUACAAAUUACUGCUUCAUGUCCCAUUUGAUUGCAUUUUGAACAUUUUGCAUCAGGUCUCCUCCAACAUUUGAAUGGAGGGUGACCUUCCUUUUUACAGUGAUGGCAAGGAGGAUAUUUACCCUUGAAGCUUCCUUUUUUGCUGCUGUUGUUAUUCAAAACAGAAGCAAAAGAAUUUCCCUCUUGGCCUUUCUUCUCUUUCCUCUUGUUUCUGUAAGCUCCGUGAUGUUUUGCAAAUAAGGCUCCUUCAGUGUUGACCUCUUGCCUCAUAUGUCGUCUCUGCUCUUGCGCCUGUAGGGAAUUAAGUAAUUCUGCCAAGGAAAUUUUUGACAGAUCCUUGGUAUUUUCCAAGGUGGUAACUGUCGCUUCAUACCUUUCAGGUACUGUGACAAGGAUUUUUUCCACAAUCCUUGAAUCACUAAAUUCAGACCCGAGUAGCCUGAUUUUAUUUGCAAUUCCAAGAAGUCUAUCUGAAUACUCUUUAAUUGUUUCAGAUUCCUUCAUUUUUUGCAACUCGAAAUCCCGUAUCAAAUUUAAAACCUGCAUUCCUCUUAUCCUUUCGUCUCCUGCAUAUUCUUCCUUCAGGUAAUCCCAUAUAGACUUGGCUGUCUUACGGGACAUUAUUCUUGUAAAGAUUGUUGUUGACACCGCAGCAAACAAGCAUGCUUUGGCCUUUGACUUCUUCAUCUUCAUCUCCUUGUGAGUUUUGAUCUGCGUCAUGGUGGGAUUGUUUGGAAGUACAGGAACAUCAUAGUCUUCAUCCACUGCUUCCCAAAGAUCCAAAGCUUCCAAAUAUGUCUCCAUGCGUACUGCCCAAAUUUGGUAGUUGUCACCAUUGAACACUGGCGGAGCAAUUGAGGAGAAACUUGUUUCAGCUUCCAUGAUACGUCAAAGUCACACACAGAUCCCUUAAGAACAAUAAAAGCUCUGAUACCAAUUUGUUAGUUUUUUAAAGAAAGAAAGGAGUAUAACAGAGGUAGAAGUUUAUGGAUAUGGAGAAGGGAGAAAGAUAGAAAUAGUAGAUAAGGGAAUACAAACUGGGAAUUCAAAUAUUAUUAUGCAGCAAGCUUACAUUAAAUAGAAACAGAGAAAAAAACUGAAACCGAGAAUUAAGCCAUGAACAUCAACGUGUGCCAUGAACAGCAACGUGUGCCAACAAACUAACCAUUUCCUACAGACUAGGACAAACUAAAAACAGAAUGAAAGCAUAAAAUAAUUUCUGAUACUUAGACACGUUGCAGUCCUAAAACAAUCAACUAACAGUCUUUUAGUCUACGAGUUCCUGUGCAACGGGUCCUUGGACAGUUGGAUUUUCCUUAAAGAACCACGACAACCUUCUCUAGAUUGGGAAGGUAGAAGGACAAUUAUCUUGGACAUAGCAAGGGGGCUGGCCUAUCUCCAUGAAGAAUGCAGGCAGAGAAUAAUCCAUUUAGAUAUUAAACCCCAAAACAUCUUGCUUGACGCGAGGCUACGCGCUAAGAUCUCUGAUUUUGGCUUGUCGAAGUUGAUUGACAGGGAUCAAAGUCAAGUGGUGACCACAAUGAGAGGAACUCCUGGGUACUUGGCUCCUGAAUUAUUCAGCUCAGUCAUCACAGAGAAGGCAGAUGUUUAUAGUUUUGGAAUCGUAGUCAUGGAAGUUGUCUGCAGAAAGAAAAAUCUGGACAGGUCACAGCCAGCUGAGUGCAUGCAUUUGCUCCCUAUUCUUAUGAAGAGGGCACAGGAGGAUCAAUUGAUUGAUAUGGUUGACAAUAGCAGUGAGGAUAUGCAAUUGCACAGGUUAGAAGCUGCGGAGAUGAUGAGGGUUGCUAUUUGGUGUCUGCAAAGUGAUCACACCAGGAGGCCUAGCAUGUCAACCGUGGUUAAGGUCUUAGAGGGCACCAUGGGUGUUGAAGCAGACCUAGACCAUUGCCUUCAUAAUGCAACAACAAUGGCAGCAAUAAGAAGAGAGGCAGUGCUGGGCAGUACUACCACAUUGCUACCAUCACUACUAUCAGGACCAAGGUGAAGAAAGAUCUUUUGCGAUAUAUUUAUGUGGUGUUUAUGUUUCUCUGAUAGGUGUUUUACCUUCAGUUCUCUUUAUAUCGAUAUUGUAAUGUUAUCUGGGAAAUUGUUCAAUUAACAUAAAGUGUGAUUCCUUAAAGCCAAGACAUGCAAUCAGUUUUCAGUUAAGUUUUUGAGGUAAAGAAUUACUUUUAUAGCCAACAAAGAGCCAAAUAUACAUGAUUCCGGUUAACAUAUUACUAUCAAUGUCAUAACCUAAUUUUUGACCCUUUUAUUUUAAUUUUAUUUAUUGAAAAUGAUAAAAAGAAAAAUGAUGAAAAAAAAUAUAAUAAUGAUGAUGAAAAAAAAUAAUACAAAUGAAAUAAACGAAGAACGAAUUAAAAUUUGGGUUAAGGGCAACAUGAUUGGAAGUUUAAAGAUUUAAUUAAAUUUUUGACUUGUUUAAUUAAUCAAAUCAACGGUUUAAUUGAAGAAUUGAUAAAUUUUAAAACUUAAUUAAGAUUGAAAUUAAUUGAAUUAAUCAAAUCAAGGGUUUAAUUGAAGAAUUGAUAAGUUUUGAGACUUAAUUAAGCUUGAAAUUGAUUUAAUUCAUCCAAUCAAGGGUUUAAUUGGAGAAUUGAUGAGUUUUGAGACUUAAUUAAGCUUAGAAUUAAUUUAAUUAAUCCAAUCAGGGGCUUAAUUGGAGAAUUGGUAAGUUUUAGACUUAAUUGGACUUUGGAUUUAAUUAAAUUAAUGAAAUCAGGGACUUAAUUGAAGAAAUAGCAAAUUUGGGGUUAAUUGGGAGCACGAUUACAACAGAUUAAAAUCCAAGGACUAAAUUGUAAAAAGCGCCGAAAUGCAGGGAAAAUUACAGUUUAAACCAGGGGCUUAAUUACAGUAGUUUCGAAACUUCACGGGUCACUAAAAUGGCCACCUCAUAUCCCAAAACGGCGUCGUUUGAAAGAGCGUUGUCCAUGUUCUUCGCAGGAGCCAUUGCUGGAGUAAAGGGUGGAAGCCGUUUCAAAUGCUUGGCAUUCUCUGGCUAUAAAGCCAGAGAAGAUGAGAGAGCGCAGGGAGAAAAGAAAAAGGGUAGAACUGAGGGGCUGAGGGGGAGAGAGAAAAAACAGAGCCACGAAUGGCAGAAAAUGAGGAAUCACAGAACCGGGGGAGACAAAUGGAGAGAAACCGAACAAGGGAAAAUUUUGGUCCAUUAACUAGCAACAACUCGUGCUUUUACAACCAUUGUCUCCGUCUUGAAUGGAGAAGAUCGGACAGAGAACUAGAAAAGGGAACAAAGCGGAGGAGAGGAAGUAACACUGGGAACACCACAAGACGCGAGAACAGAGAUAAUACAGAGAAGACGAGCAAAAUCAGAGGAGGCCACAAAUGAGCAGAAAACAGAGGAACACAGAACAAAGCAGAAAAGGCGGUGGGCACGGUAGCAAAGAAUUACCUUCACACUGUGUGCAUCAUGCCCAGCCGGGUCACUGGCUCGGGCCAGUGACCGGGCUGGGCUGGCUGGGUCUAGCCCAUCCCAUGUGGGUUGAGCUGGGCCCAGCCCAAAAAAAUAAAGAAUAAAAAAACAGAAAAAACAGAAAAAUAAAAAAAAAUAGAAAAAAUAAAAAAUGUGCAUGCAUGAAUAAAAAUAAUGUAAAUUUAUUGGCUUAUUCACUGACGCUAGAGUCAGGAAUAAAAAUACCGGUUUAAAUUUAUAUUAUUUUUAUUCCUUGUAUUUUAUUUUAUUUUAUUUAGCUAGAAAAAUAAUAAAAAAUAUGUGCAUGCGUAAAAAUAAAUUUAUUUUUGUUUAUUUAUUCACUGGCGCUAGAAUAGGGAAUAAAAAAUAUUGAUCUAAUUUUUUUUUGUAGUUAUGAAUUUUUACCAGCGCUAGAGUUGGAAUUAUUUGAGCUCGAAUAUUCACUGGCGUCAGAGUCAGGAAUAUUAUAAACAAAUCAUAAUAGCAUAAGCGAAUAAAUUUUUAGCAAUUGAAGACAGAACCAACAAUGCAGUUUGCCUUAGGUAGAACGUUUAAGGGGUGAUAAUAUCUUUCCUUUUACGUAACUAGUUCUGAAUCAUAGAAUCUUUGUUGACCAGUUAGGAUUCCUAGUGACCAUAGUACUAGGUGUUGACUCUUCAAAUAAAAUAUUUUUCUUAAAAGAACAAGAUGUCAAAUAUUUGUUUUUUUUUCAUAAAUCAAGAUAAUUUUUAGAACCACCCCGAUGUUGGGUGUGACAAUCAACAUUGUGCUUAUUCUUUUCAGAACAAUGACAAAGCUUUAGUGAAGAGUGAAGAAGUGUUUCCUGCACAAUAAUAGUGAAUGAAAACUAGACCAAAGUGAGUUCAUGUUAGAUACUAUUGUAUGAGUGCUUAAGUAGUUAAGGAUGAGAUAUCUCUCAAGCUGUUAAAAAAAAAACUUUUACUUGAGAGGAUUGAUAAUCUUAUUUUUUAAACCAUGUAUGAAAAAAAAGGUGAGUGAAGGCCUUAUGAUGUCGAGUGAAGAGUCCAUUUUCAUGAAGUUAAAUUGAUAAUUAGAGUAUUAUACUAGAGAGAAACGUGAACACUAUUUAUAAGUGGCGUGCAUGUCAUCUAAUUGAGUGAUUAUGUGAAUAAAAGUGUUUACAUAGUCAAUGAUGAAUUAUUGGCUAGAACGAGCAUGGAAACAAGUGUCAAUUGACUUUUAUGGAUAUUUCCCUAUCAUAAAUUAAAAAGCUAGAUAAACUAUUGAAUGAGAUGACUGUUCUCUUACGAAAAUUCAAAAGGAAAAGCAUCGUCGAAUAUGAGUCAAUUUUCCACGCCUGUCAUUCUCGUUCUCGGCUGUUGGGUCUAUAAUGGCUGCAUGCCGUAUUGCUUGACGAGGACUAUUUAAGUAUUAUUCUCGACCUUUUAUUUAUUUAUUUUGGAUUUUUUCUGCUGGUGGGUCUAUAAUAUUUUUUUUUAUAACCGAAGUCUGUAAACAGAAACAUUUUAUUUAUUUUCCGCGUCAAGAAAGUCAAGUAACUCAGUCACCCACUUUUUUUAAACUCCCACUGCACUAGAUCUCGCUCCUUCUGCUGUUAAUCCAAUUCCAAAUAUUUAUGGAGAAAAAAAAUAUUAAUCUUUAUUUACAACGUUGGUUAAUUACAAUUAGUACAAUGAUAUCAAUUUCUUCUCUUAUACUAAAAUAAUGAUACCAAUUCUAGAUAUUAUAUAUGAAUUAUGUUAUGUUAUGUAUGAAAAAUACUAAAAAAAAGAUAGGUUAAUUUGGUCAUCCCAUAAAAUUAUAUAUGGAGUGAGAUUAAAACUUAAGGAAUAGGAAUAGCACUGCACAAAAUAUUAAUGAUAUUUAUUAUUUAUAGUAUAUGGUCAAUGAAGUGUCAUGAUUUAUCGAGUGAUUUCCAAUGAAAUUUGGAGCACAUACCAGCUUAAUUCUAAGUUUGCUAGAAGAAUUAUUUGAUUUUUGAACAAAUUCAUAAGCACUUAGGCACAAUCUACUCUUUUUUUCUUAUAAAAAAAAUUGUAUAAAGAACAACUAAAUAUUUAUUAAAAUUAAGAAAUCAACACAUUAAAUAAAAUUGUAUGUUCUCUACAACAAAUUGUGGAGACCCCAAAAGAAAAGUGAGAGCGAGAUGUGCUUCCGGGGCAUGUUAAAAUUAAGAAAUUAACACGUUAAAAAAACUUUCAAUAUGCCUUGUAUAUGUUUGAUAUGUAAAUUGACAUAUUUAAUAUCAAUUCAAUCUUGAGUAUGAACCUAUUCUCCAAUGUCACUUUCAUUUGCUCCAAAUGGGAAGAUAAUGCUUGGAUUUUUAUUUUUUUUGUCUCAUGUUUACUUGAAGUUAAAAGAAAAGUCAUGAUGGGCAUUGCGAGGAGAUCAUACAACAAGAAUCGUAAACUCUUGAGGGUAAACAUGUCCACUAUCCAUGGCUGGUAACAAGGACGGGGAAAUUAAAGAAUUUUCAUUGAUGGGGCAAAUAGCAUCACGUUUUGUGUUCAAAAACAGGGAAGCUUCCUAAGUCCGAUGGCUGCUGCUGCAGUGCGUUCAUUUGGUGUUGUAUAGCAACAGCAUUUAUUGAUCUGUAUUCCAUUCCAGAGUAGUACCAUACAAAAAUAGUAGAGCUCAUGGCUAUGUGGCCUUUGAGUGAUAUCCUGCUAGUGCAGCUUUUGAUCAUGUUAUCUCCUGCAUGCUUCCUAGAAGCUCAAACUUCUUACUCCACAGCACAAAAUUAUUACCCAUCAUGGACAAACAAUUUGUCCAUUCCAGCGAGAGGCUUUGAUUCCUACCAAAUGAUCUUGAUUAGUGAGUCUGUGUCUUUUGCUUGUGGAUUUUACUCCAAAGACCAGGAAAAUGAUUCCUUUUAUUUAGCAGUAUUAUCACUCAACAAACAUAUGCAGGAGCUAUUCUUUAAUUUCACUCUUCAGCAUGUCAUAUGGUUGGCAAAUGAAAAUAAGCCUGUUGGACGGAACGCAACUCUAAAGUUACUUCCAGAAGGAAAUUUGGUUCUGAGAGAUGCAGAUGGAGCUUUAGUCUGGUCUACCAACACGUCUAACAUGUCUGUUGCAGGUAUAAAGAUGAUGAAACAGGGAUGCUUGUGCUUCAAGACCACAAUAAUAAGACUGUGUGGCAAUCUUUAGUAAUACAGCACAUGUGUCCACUUCAUGGACGAAUAAUGACCCAUAUCAGCCAUGCCUUUUAAUCUAUUUAAAAUAAUCAUGAUGCACGGAGCUGGUUUUUUUGUGGAUUUCUCUCCAAGGACCGGAAUUCUUCUAUUUUGCAUAUGGAAGUCGGAAUAUUCUGGAGAUGAUGAUCCGGAGGCCUUAUGGUUAGCAAACAGAAACAGGCCUGUUGGUGAGAACGCAACUUUACAAUUUUUACCAGAUGGAGAUUUGGUUCUGAGAGAUGCAGAUG
Molecule: long non-coding RNA, 34136 nt
Filed under: Populus tremula
Lineage: Eukaryota; Viridiplantae; Streptophyta; Magnoliopsida; Malpighiales; Salicaceae
Description: long non-coding RNA (PTRE_LNC002143)
Source: RNAcentral